RNAcentral lists this ribosomal RNA (630 nucleotides) under Rhodococcus sp. So1Pt_116. RNAcentral describes it as "bacterial SSU rRNA". It matches the Rfam family "Bacterial small subunit ribosomal RNA", at positions 387 to 1029 of the family's 1533-position model. The record is from RNAcentral. Lineage: Bacteria; Bacillati; Actinomycetota; Actinomycetes; Mycobacteriales; Nocardiaceae.
UGCAGCGACGCCGCGUGAGGGAUGACGGCCUUCGGGUUGUAAACCUCUUUCAGCAGGGACGAAGCGAAAGUGACGGUACCUGCAGAAGAAGCACCGGCCAACUACGUGCCAGCAGCCGCGGUAAUACGUAGGGUGCGAGCGUUGUCCGGAAUUACUGGGCGUAAAGAGCUCGUAGGCGGUUUGUCGCGUCGUCUGUGAAAACCAGCAGCUCAACUGCUGGCUUGCAGGCGAUACGGGCAGACUUGAGUACUGCAGGGGAGACUGGAAUUCCUGGUGUAGCGGUGAAAUGCGCAGAUAUCAGGAGGAACACCGGUGGCGAAGGCGGGUCUCUGGGCAGUAACUGACGCUGAGGAGCGAAAGCGUGGGUAGCGAACAGGAUUAGAUACCCUGGUAGUCCACGCCGUAAACGGUGGGCGCUAGGUGUGGGUUUCCUUCCACGGGAUCCGUGCCGUACCUAACGCAUUAAGCGCCCCGCCUGGGGAGUACGGCCGCAAGGUUAAAACUCAAAGGAAUUGACGGGGGCCCGCACAAGCGGCGGAGCAUGUGGAUUAAUUCGAUGCAACGCGAAAAACCUUACCUGGGUUUGACAUAUACCGGAAAGCCGUAAAGAUACGGCCCCCCUUGUGGUCG